UAGAGUCAGCAUGCUGACGACUUACCAAAGACAUUCAUUCUUGAAUGAUCAUAAUUUCAAUUGAAUAAAUAGCGAAGAUGAGAAUAAUAAUACGGUAUAACAAGACUAUUUCAAAGCCAAUGCCACCGCGGCAUAGGUCACCCAGUGCUACGGAAUAAAUCGACAGGAAAGAGAAAAGGAAAAGUGAAUUAAACAAACUCCUGAUUUCUCAUGAAAAAAAACAGUGAUCCCCUUGAUGAUGACGAGGAUGAUGAGCCCAACAAGCAUCCCCAAAGCAUUGAAAUGAUUUUCAAUAACGAUCAUAACACGGAUAUUUCGUAGUACAAACUACUUUACCAAAUCGGCAAAUGACUUUCGGAAUACCCCCAUCGACGGAGUCUGGUGAGCUUGAAGUACCUAGAGUUAUCAUGCACCAUAAAAUAACUUGGGACAGGGGAAUAGUAUUACGUGAACCAGUAAAUUGGGAUAUUAAUAGGCUAAAUCAUUCCAGCUAAUUAGAUUAAUGAAUAGAGAGGGCACUCACCAACAGUUGUGUAGCGCACAAAGGUCUCUUUAUUUUCAAUCAUCGAGUCCACAGCCAGUUUUUCGCAGUAUUGAGCUGUGAUUAUAGCUAUUGUUGGCUGUUUGGCACUUGCCAUCGUUGGCAUUUGUUUUACGACCUAAAAAUCGUGAAACGUAAAAGUACCUCACAAAUAGUUAAGGGAUAUCAGCCAAUUGUUGUUUAUGUUUUUGAAAAAUCGUCCAUCUAAUCAAUUUGUUUAUUACCUUGAUUUGAGUGUCUUGAUGAGCGACUCUCGUAAAAGCGCCAAGACCCAUAGCCUUCACCACUCCCUUCUUCUCAAGGGCCAGCAUUAUGCCAUUCACCGCAUCAGGCUCCCAAUUGUACUCCCUAAAUGCCAUAACGCGUCGUUUAAAGAUAACAACCUCAAUUUCAAUAUGUUUUGGGGAAUGAUAAACUCACUUUGCCAUGUCCUCCACAUUAACUGGAUUCGGGUAGGCGGAUUCUAUCAGCUCCAAUACCUUCUCAGACGUCAAUUCUACUGUCUGUCCAAUGACUGUCUCAUCAAUGGACACUAAAAGAAUCAUCGCGAAGAUGAAGAUUAAUUAAUUGCUUGCUUAGGAAAAAAAUUGACGAGCUUCUGUUAAUUCAUGGAACAACGUGAAUAGUGAUAUUUUAUAAUUAGUGUCUGGAAAGGGAUCUUAUGGUAGUCAUCCAUGCCUAGUCUUGAUAACAGGGGCAGUGUGUCAGUUAUCGAUUAUUCAAAUUCGUAAGAAACGCAAAUUCCAAGCAACAAUCCUUAUUAAAUCAAUGUUGUUAUGGUAACAUAUCUGCAACUGUUGAAAUCCAUAAAAUAUUGAGUGUCAUUAAAUUGUCAAAAAGUCCACUAAACACGAAUACAGCCAUGAGCCAUGAAAAAUAUGGAACAACUAGUGAAUAAGAUUUGUUUCAUUAAAAAAAUCUACAGAAAAAAUUUCUCAACUGUGCUUUUGUCUAGAUUUUCGGUUACUUUGCGUGCAAUCGUGUUCAACUCUUCCUUUAAUUGACGUCAAAUUAAAGGAAAAUUAUUUAUGUCUAUUUUUAAACAACAUUUGGUUGAUUUAUUACAGGGCUUUUCAAUAUCUAACAGCCUGUGAGAACAAAAAAUCAAAACUAUUGAGAAUUGAUAAAAAAAGUUGCAGAGCAAAUGUGAAGAUUUCUUUUUCCUAAGUCGAACCUGAUAUCCGAACACUUUUCUUUCUUGGUAGAGUGUACAGACAGUUGCCACUUCGAGCUGUGAAUAAUGCAAGACAAACGAUUUUAUAACAUUUUCAAAAAUAAAAGAAAUAUACAUUAAUGAUAACUAUCCGGCAAAUCACAUUUGCCAAUUGACAGUUACUUGCGACAACGACACUAAUUUAAUUGUCCUUUGACCCCUCCCCCCUGCCUUCAAUUACUUGGACUUGAACCAAUUUGAGAUGAACGUUAUAAUGCGGGUGAUAAAUUGAGUGUCAUUUACAUGGUCUGGUUGGUAAAGUGAUCGGUUCCUCCAGCUGUUUGAGCUCUACCUCCAGUUUCUUUAUGUUUGGAUACUUGUGCUGCAUCAGUUUCAUUAUUUUCUUGAUGAAGCCGACGUAAUCUGUUGGAUGAAUUCAAUUACAUUAUUUUUUAGGUUCCCCCGAGAUCUAUUUUCUUUCAACAACUUUGAUAAAUUUAUUUGAUGCUAAUGCGAUUCAUUAUUUCAACAGUAUUUUUGUCGUCUUUUCAAUGACGUAGUUAAAUUCCAAUAAUUCGACGAUUUCCCUGUGACUCUAAUCAAUUUUCCUCAAUUUACAAUUUUCUUCGCCAUCAGGUAGUAAACUCCGGGAAAUUGUCAUUUGCGGAUAAAAAAUAUAAAUUCGCGGGAAAACUGGCAGAUUCCUUCCAAUCAAAACGUACCUCUGGGAAACUCCUGAGGACUCACUAGCUCCCUGAAAAAUUCCUGUGCCACAUGAGGCUGUUCGACCUCGGCUAAUGAAUUAACAAACCAGAACUGGAGUCUCCUGGACUCCUGGGUAUGUUUCUUGGUCUGUGCACUGACCAGAAAGACUCGAAAUUCGAGACCGAGUUGGGCAGGCCUCGACAUCCCAUUCGCUGCAUGAAAUCAUCAAUGAAUUUCCCCAUUAAAAAAUUAAUCCGAAAUAAAUCUUAAGAAAUAACUACCUGCAGCUGCAUGUUUAUUGAUGACAAUGCCCUUGUGAUCGCCUCCUGCCACAUGGACGUCUCCCUGAGUCUUCUCAGGAAGACGAUCCACCUUCUGUCUCUCGAUAAUCAACGUCGUUGAAUUAGCAGUCUUGCAUUUCGGUGUCAUCACAAUGUGUUCUACAAAAUCAAAUCUUCAAAUCAUGAUGUUGAAUUUUUCGUUAACUCGUUUUAACUACCGAGAUAAAAACUAUAAACCCCUGGGACCGAACUAUGGUAUGAAAAAAAAUAAAAGUCGGGUUCUAGAAGCUGAACUCACUUAUAAUUAAAAAUGAGCAAUUAUCCACAAAUUUAAAGACUAAUAAAAAAGUAGGGAACUUUCAAUUCUUUGUGCAAACUUCCUUUAAAUUAUUUAGCAACAAUUUGUUCCAAUACCCGAUUUUAUAGUCAACAUCAGAACUUUCACUUUCGCCAGUCUGGACUUUAACUUUUCAGGAACUUGACCAUAAUUUUACAUUUAAAUUUGACAGAUAGAAAUUGAAAAUUCAAUAUUGAGAAAAGAGGUUCCUGCAAAUGAUCCUGGGACAUAUUCAUGUCAUGAUCAAAGUCAUCAAUUGAGCCUUUAUCCGAUGAUGCACACAAGAGUCCGAUGAUGACACCCAUGUGUUCACUCACAUCAACUGUUUGCCAUUGAAAAAUGAUAAUGACUCAGAAACGUGACGUUAUUCAGUCCCGAUAAAGGUGAGCAGAUUACCUCGAGCACAAAAUAAAAGCAAAAAAUAUUCACCAUAAUUUCCCGCUAGAACUCCCUGAAUUAUUCAGAACUAGGUCAACUCACCAUCAGUCUUUGCGUCAUCCAUGUUUCCAGAAUCCCUGGACCAGACACGGUAAAUUUCGAUAAAUAAACUGUCAAUCGUAUAAUUUAGUAAACGUGUGCUUCACACUCGUCACGAACAAACACUGACGGAUUUAUCAGGAACGGCCGGCGCGCUACGGCUUGACUGAACUCCCCUCCGUUUGUCAGCCCACGCUUCCACCAUCCACUCCUCGAAAACCUUCUACUGGCACUUUCCUUUUUUUACUGUCUAUUGGUUGCAACGUUGACCGCAGGGGGCGCAUUACGUCGCAGAAGCCCCGCGCGCCCGUUCAUAUUACCCACCCCCGGGGGCAAUGAACGUGCCGGUUUAAUUGGGACAUGAUCCCCUGAAUUCGCUACUGAUGAUUAUCCGCACCUUCGCACGUUAUUUUUACCGUUCCAUUAGGGGCUUCCGAAAUUAAAAAAAAUUUCAACCACCGUUUUGUCACAGAGAUGACGUUCAACGCAACGAAACGGAAAAUGCGGAGUUUCCCCUCUAAAUGAUAACAUUAAUCAUAAUGAUAAAUAUUUGCAGAAGAACGCAGAUAAUCUCGGAUCAAUUUUCUUAAAAGAAAACCGCAGCGAAGCGGUACAACCGCUCCGGUCGAUCCUAACUAUUGGUCAGUUUUUCAAAAGUCUUCUUGUGGGUUUCAAUUCAUUCAAUUACAAUCGUCAAAACAACAUCAAAAACGUGAAAUCACCUUUGGAUUUACAACUGCUUUUAUUACUCAUUAAAUGUUUUUUCUUUCAUUCCAGAGGUAAUGAUUUCCCUUCAUUUUCGUUGAUAUGCACGAUUAACUUGAAUUGUUAUGGCCAAAAUAACAAUCGAUCCGUGAAUCACGAGUCAGAACGGGGAAAUAAAACAGUUGAAUAGCCCAGCGAUUUAUUUAAAUGUGACGGGUCUGGUGGUUUUUUUUCCAAAGUUGAUGACGUCAUGUGGGUUAUUUAUGUUGUUGAAUGUGAUAUCACUGGAAUUUUCACUCCUCGGAAAUUGACUCAUAAUGGAAUAUCAUUUCUCUUUUAUUGUAAUUAAUGUUUUAAUUUGGAUGAAUUUCUAUUAGAUGGGAGGGCGGGGGAGAGAGGAAGGGGAAUGUAGUCUUUUUUGGGAGUCGUUCCUUAGUCAUGGGAUUUACGGGUCUAUAGUCAUCGUGGACUUUCUAGUUCCAGUUAUGAGAAAAUAGAAACACGAGAAAAAUACUGCAUAAAGGACUUUAUUAUUUUGAGGCUUUUACUUUUUUUUAGGGAAUUUUCUGAUUAAUAAAUAAACAUGAACUUGCAAAUAGGACUGAGGACGAGUAAUAUAUUAUAUCAGGGACUUUCUCUCAAAUAUUUGGGUUGAACAGUUUCGAUAUUUUUUAAAAUUUCAAGUCCAGAGACAAAACUAUUUUACAAUUAUUUAUAGUUGCGAUUAUUUUAUGAAUCCUCGAUUAUGCAGCGCUAGCGAGUAAAAAAGACAAUUUUAAUUCAAUAUAAUCUCAAUUAUUUACACAAUAAGCAUGAAAAAUUAUUAAUAUUCAUUUUCUAUUCUUCGAACGAAUAAUCAACAAACGAUUGAGAACAUAUGCAAAAACCGGCUGGACAAAAUUUUUAAAAACCUCAAGACGGACAAAAAUCUUGAAAGAAAGAUGAAACUAAUACUCUGCCGGCACAAAUAAUCACUUUGACAUGUUGCAUACCAGGACAACUAAUAAAAAUUCGCUUGAAAUGGCAAUCUCCCCUUGAUUUAUCUGAUCGGCACUGAAGAGAUAGACGACAUUGAAGUGAGACUCGAUGGUCCAGAGCUCAAAUUGAGUUUAUCAAGUUCCUCAUCUGCUUUAUUAUUCUUCAAAUCCUGCUGUGUAUACAGGAACUUGUUCCACUCGUCCCCGCGUGGAUGAGCAAGAUUUUCAGCGACAUCGUAAACCCAAAUUUUUCCGGAAUCAUCACCAACAGUGACAUGCAAUCCACUGGGUGUCCAUGACACUCGAUUCAAUGCUGGUGCUCCAUCGACGACGACACUGGCUGUUGGCACCUCGGUAUCCUGAUUUAAAUUCCACAGAUCCAGAUGUCCUGAAUCAUCAACAGCUGCAAAUAGUGCGGGAUGAGUGGGUGACCAGGCGACAUCGUAAACAUAAUCUCCAUUGUGCUCGAAGGAAUGCAACGCUUUGUUCUCCUUGAGACUCCAUAGCUUUAUAGUCCAGUCGAUGGAGGAUGUGAGGAACAAAUGGGAGAAGUCAAUGCCCCCUUGGACAGCAUGCGCACUGACCGAUGUCACUGGGCCCUGAUGACCCUCGUAUGUCUCAGUGACACCAGCACGAAUGCCAUGACGACAGGCUGAGUAAACAGUACCGUCUUCACUACCAACGACGAAAUUAUUAACAUCUCCAUGAGGAAAUGCCAGACACGUGACAGCUAUUGGCUUUGACUGCUUCGCUUGGAGAUCAAGGGUCUCCUGGGGUUGGGAGAGCAUGUCUAGACUCCAGGAGCACAUUUUGCCAUCUGUGGAGAUGCUUAUAAGAUUGUGGGCAUUCUGGGUCCCCACAACGUUCAGACAAUAGACUGGAUGUGUAUGGGCACUAGCUGACAGGGGAGUUCGUUGAAUUGGGGUGCGUUUUUGAACGCGAUUAUCCCACAGGACUAUUUGACCGGCGUAGGUACCACCGAGAAUUAAAUUCGGAUGGAAACGUGCGAAUGUUGUUGACAUCACUGGUGACUGACAGUGAAAGAUGAAUUCAGGAGUGGUUUUCUUGAAUUUUGUAUUCCAUAUUAGACAGAUGCCGUCUGGAUCGUUGGGGGCAUCAUCGUUGUGGUGGUAGGAGGCUGCUAGGAGCUCCGGAAACUGGGGGGACCAGUCCAGGGAAGUCACACAGCGAUUGCGAGACCAACGCUCGUCGUAGAAUGAGCGGUUCAGCCAGAGGCGCUGGUGACUCUUCUCGUCCCUUUGAAGUGAUGAAGAAUUUGGGGGUGAGUUUAUCGUUUAUUGUUAUAUAGAUAAAUUCUAUAGAUAAAUUAUCAACUUAUUCAAUAUUUAUAGACUAUAAAAAAUUGAAAAUUUAUGCGUUUCAUCAUAAGUUCAGAGCGAUCAGAACUGGAGUUACAGAAAAAAAAGUAAAAAGCAAAAUCUUCAGUUCAUAUGAAGUAUUCACUUACAUUCCUUCAUCCCCAUCCAGCGUUCCAGUGUAAUCAGCAUAGAUAUUAACAGAUUCAGCUAAUGCCCUCUCAACAAUUCUACUAGUUCUAUCCAAAAAUUUCUGAAAGUCCUCGGAGAGUAUCAACAUUUGUUUCUCUUCUUCGCUCAAUUCUCGGACUGCAAUUAGUCGACCAAACAGAAUAAAUUCCCAUUAGUGAAUAAUUUCCAAGUGAUCUAUUUCAGUGGAGCAUUACCUUCUUUGGGCGCCUCUUCCUUUGACUGCUGUUCGACCUGAGUGACAGCGGGCUGGACUUCUUUCACCUGUGGCAGGCCAUGUGAUAGAAUACCCGGUGGUAGCUUGCUUUGGAAACCAUCCAUGUGAGGAAGACUGUUCUCCUCAUCUUCGGCUUGGCCAUCAUCAUAUGUCAAAACUGUGGUGAAUAAGCUAGUCCCGAAUAUCUAUUCCCUAAUUCUACUCAAUAUUCUUCACGUUUUCGAGAUAUACAUGUUUUUUUUUUCAUUGCCGAUGCCAAUAAUCGAAUCUAUCCUCAAAUUAUUCAGAGUAAUUUAUCCUAAUCGAAUGGCUCUACUGCACUAGAUCUAGAGCGCUCAAUUUACAUGCUGCUCUGAAUAAAAAUGGUAAAACAAAAUGUAAUGGCAUGCAUGCAAUGGGCGUUAGUCACGCGAUCAAAAUAUAAUUCAACAUUUUUCGUCGAUGUCUCUCCACCCUCCUGACAUGCUUCAACUCAAUGUAUCGAUUACACAUGGAGAUAAAUGUGAGGCUCAAACUAGCGGAACACUUGAUUUAGCUAAUCUACUGAUGUAAAAAUGGUUUUACGUCUUCAGAAAAUUGACUGACGUCCAGUUAAAGAAAAUAUGAAAUACGAAUGUUACGAUAAUUCUGGGGUAUUUCGGCCGAGGAACAAUCGUAUCGGACAUUUCAGCUCAUCCUCUUGAGAAUUGACGGUAAUUUUUUUUUCUCUGUAACUAGGGACCUGCCAGAAUGAUCUCCGUUUUUCUUUCAAUUUUAUCGACAGUCCGCUUUUGAGAUAUGAUUUAUUGUCACGUGCACGGAUAAACCGCUAUUUCAACCUUGCUUCGCAUGGUUAAAUUGCAGCUUCCGGGCUCCGUGACAAAAAAUUCAAUUCGAUGCAGAGCCGUGAAGGAUUUUUCAAACUCAUGUUCGCCGGAAAAAUUCCUCGUAGCGUGAAGGCUCAAAAAAUGUCAAACAAACGUAACAUUUUAUUGUAUUGACCUAGAGCGGGUUAUCUAUAAUCUAUUUGCAUUACUCUGCAUGGGCAUGAUUUCGAGUUCCACUUCCGGUUUAAUUCGGUUCUUAGAUAUGGGCCGAAUAGGAGAAAAAAAUUACCAUCGAUUCCUAAAAGAGGAUAACUCAAUUUUUUUUGCAACUCCUUUCGUACAAAAAAUUCUCGAAAAAAUGCGAUUUUUUUCUGGAUUUAAAAACAAGGACAUUAAUAUUUGCAGGGGUAAAUGAACAACAUGAUUAUUUGAUCAUGUGUUAUAUCUUGAUAAUCAUUGGCCAGUUGGAUAGAGGCUUAAAUUCUCGUGAAUUCCCUGAACAAUUUUUUUUCUUGUUGAGUAUUCCGCCAGUUUCAGCUCCAUUUCGAAAAUAAUAUCGUAAAAAAUAUGAAUAAAUGAACGCAACUUCCUGAGUCUCAUGCACAGUGAGGAAAUGGAAAAGUAAAAAAGUCUAGUAGACAAAGUAAUUCAAUGAAAAAAUAAUACAGUCAUGCGAGUCGAACAGGUGCACCCUGAUAAAUUCACAGGUAAGUCGAACGGGCCAGCGUACGAAUAUCAUCAUCAUGACAAAGGUGUACGCAUGGCAAAAUUUUCAAUAACGUCUCUGUGUGCAAAAAUUAAUUACGGGUUGCAAGAGCACUUAGAAGCCUUUUCAUGAUCCUCAACGAGCAUAUUUUCAGUGAUUUUACGGAGCCUGACAUAAUUUACAUGUAGAAAAAAAAAUUCAAUGCAAUUGUGAACAACUACUUUGAACUGAAAGUUAAAUCGUAAAAAAAGACACCGAAAAUCGACUGCCGGGCUCGUGGUGAACGUGUGGAUAAAGUGAAGCUUUGGAGGAUGCUCGUGACAACAAAAAAAUAUACAGUAACAUUGUAAAUUUAGGGUUCACCUUCUGAGAGUUGAUCACCUACCUGUGAAUUCGUCCUCCCACUCUAAACCAGGAUUUAGAUUGUACUCGUCUUGAAGGAGGGAAAAGAAAAUGUCAAUCAAUUUCGUAUCCUUUUCACGUUUACGUUUCAAUAUUCUCGAUGAAUAAUCAUUGACAUACUCAGGGUCAAUAAUAAUUCAAUUGAGUCUGAAGCGUUUCGUCAGUUAUUCAGUGAGUUUUGUAGUUUAAUAAUCUAAUCACAUGCAAUUAUGCACUCUGCCCUGUUGCUGUUUUGUUGUUAAUUUAUUAAAUCAGCCUCUAUUUGUUUAAUCAUCAUCAGUAGUAAGCAUGUAUGCUUGUUCGAUAGAGUAAACAAUUCACAAUAGUCAGAAUACCUCUUUUUGUGAAUAAAUUAUUCAAGAUAUCUCAUAUAAGCGUUAAGGAUAUCCAAUCAGUUUGGCUAUUUGUUUGUUUCUCCAGUGAAAUAUUUUUCUAGAUUUGUGGGCGAACAUGAGAGCAUUCUAAGUCCCAUAAGACCCUAAAAUUUAGUCAAAUUUACUUUAAAUUUCAAUCUCAAUAUUAAAUACUUGAAAAAAAAAAUUUUUAAUUAAGAAGAUAGAAAAAAUUGUCUUUCGAGGCGAAUUGAUGGAAUAAUUCAAACAAUUCAAUUGAUGAAAGGCGCGAGAAUCUUCUGUGGAUAGUUUAUAAAUAAUUAAUUUGCGACUGAAACUUAUUCUAUAGCUACAAAUUAUUUGAUUGGAUAAGUAACGGAUUGCUCCAUAUUCAGAACUUUACCAAAAAUCAAAUUCAUGCCUAAAAAAAUGAGUUAUCCGAAAGUUAAAUCUAUUUCAAUUAUUUACAAACGAAAAAAACGUUAAAUAAAAUCGUAAUACUGUGUAAAAUGUAACUGUAACUUGGAUAUCCUUAAAUAUUAAUUUCGGCACCGUCUACUGUAUUAAUUCAUUAUUGCACAAUUGCUAUUCUGGGUUUUGGAUUAAUUAAACACCUUCAAAUCAGUUAAUUGAAUCUAUAAUUGAACUCACAAUGAAUGUGAAUAUCAUUUAGAGAACUCUGGAAGGUGCGUUAAGUUGUGACAAGAUUAACUCAAUUAUUUACUUAUCCCCUGCUGCAAUUUAUUUGCAUGCAGUAUUCCAUUGUCCUUUUCUUCAUUAAUAUUCACUCAGUUUUGAUAGAUCGUGCGACCAAAGUUGACCCCAAAGAUUUUGAAAAUCGUGCACUGCCUUUAUUUCAGUUGUAGAAAAUUGACAAAACGAGCUGAAGAUAUUUUUUCAUUUCAACUUCAAUCAUCGUCGAUCAUUUUUACGUGUUAAAAUAUUCGAUAACUGAUUCGAUGGGAAAAAAUACUCAUUUCGUUUUGACAUUUCCAUAUCAAUUCCGUUGGAAGAUAAGGGCCAGAGAAAGAGAGAGAACAGUAGGCGAUAGAAAUUAUUCCACCGGGUGGAGAGUGAGAUUUUAUCUCGAAUUUUCAAUGAUAUCAUUGUCCUAUUGCUCAUUAUUGUUCAUGAAUUUUGUUGUUGACACCGAUUGACGAUCUCUUGUACUAAUAUAUGAUGAGUUUAAACUCAAUACAAACCAAGGGAAAUCAUAACUUACCGUAAUAGUCGAAUGCAUGAGCUGAGGGGAGGGGAAAAGAGGAAAAAAUAGUCACUUAGUUGUUUUUUUCAUCUUCAGAGUAGAUAAGUGGAAAAUAUCUCAGCUAAUUUCAAGAUACCUCCCUACACUCAGAGCAUGACUUUUGCGGCAUUUGUUUAAGCACGUGAUUAAAAAAUUAUAUUAAUAUUAUUGAUUAAUACUGUGUUGCUCUGUCUCUUCUUUUCAUAUGUAUUGUUUUUCAAGUGAAAAAAAAAAUUACUAGGUGUUCAUCACAUACACUGAAUGUAGUUAGGUGUGAUUCUUAAUUAAUCGUGUAGUCUUUUUUUACUGCGCGUUAGAGGAAACAUACAUAUUCAUAGCUAUAGUAUUCUACGCAUAAAUAAAAUGCAGUGCGUCGUGCAUUGUUCAACUUUUAUGAGCCCUCGGGAUGUUAACGAGUAACAGACGGCCACGAAAAAAAUUUCCAAGUUAUUACUAUUUUUAUAACUUAUAUUUUCAUCAUUUUUAUUUCGUAUAUCCAAAGCGAAUUGAUCCUCAUCUUCAACUCGGGGAAAUUAAUGUGUUUCGAGGAAUAAAAAUACUGGCAAGUUUCGAUAGAUUUAUUAAAAAAUUUGAAAAAUUACCGGCGUUCUGUUACCCCUUAAUAAAAACUAGUAAAGUACAAAAAAAACUUUGCGAGAUGAAUUUUCACCCAAGAGGAAAUGGAAAAAUAUGAACAAUGAAGAAUGGCUGAAAAAAAUUGUUCAUUCUUGUGGAAUCGGAUGGAACGAUUUGAAGAAUGUGUGCAAAUGUCAUUUGGUGAAAAAUGUUUCUGAAAGCCAAAGACAUGGAUAACAUUUGCGGCGGUAAUCACCGGCUAUUGUUAAACAAUUUUUCAAAUAACUCGUUUCUAUGCGAUAAUUUCCAAUUCGUUCCAUUCAAUUUCUGGAGAAUAAUCAAAUUUUUUCAGCUAUCUUCUAGAUUUUUUCAUCUCCCUUUAGCUGACAAUUGAUGGAGCUAAGUUUUCACGGCAUCUCUGUAGUUUUUAUAACCCCUGAUACCGCUUUAAUCUUAAAUUAAUCAAUUUUAUCCUCACACGAGGCUCGACUCUCGUCAAUAUCGAAAUAUCAAUAAUUUCAGAUGAAUAAUUUAUACCAUGCCUUGUCACACUUAUGCCCCACCCCCCUAAAGUCUCGCUACAAUAUUUCACUAUCAUUUGUUACUGGUUUAUCAUAUCAGCGUGUGAUAAACGUUUCUCCAAGUUAUUUGUAUUAAAUUAGUUAUCAUAAGCGACGAUUGAUAGUUGUUAGUGAGGAUAAUUUGUUAAUCAGAAAAUUCCCACUGUUAGUAUCACUCCCCUUAAAAUCUCUAGUUAUUUUAUUCUAUGCUCAGCUCGACUAAAAUAAGCUCCAGAUGUGUAAGCUCCAAGAGUUGUUCUCGUCUCUCAUAUGUAUUUGUCAAAAACAAUUUCUUGAAAAGUGUGGAGUAAAGUGUAAGCCUUUGUAAUUAUCCAACUAAUUCUGGAAUAUUAUUAAAUAUAAAUUUAUUGAAACUGUGUGGAGCUAUUGGAUAAUCAUCCAGAAUAAGUGGAUAAAUAAUAAAAAGCACAUAAGCAGUAACAUAUUUGCUUCAAUAAUUCUCCACAUCCCUCAAAAACUCUUUUUCAUAUCUACCGAUAAACAGUUAACGAGAGGAUAUUUAAGAACAAAAAAAAUUAGACAAAACAUACAUAGGUAGUUUGGUGCAGACCCACCUUUCCUGGGACGCCACCAGUCAGUCUCAAAGUAGCCUGCGGAGCAAGAGUGAGUUGGUGACGUUGUCGUACAGUAGGAGUAGAUCGUGUUUGCGGAAGAGGAGGCGGAUAGUCCUUUAUUUAUUAUUUUUUAUUUGUGUUUUCCGUUAUUACCACACCAGGGCCAUUGUUAGAAAAUAACCGCAAUAUCAGUCGGAUUGCUUCAUUGAUUAGAUUAAAAAUUAAGAGGGUUAAUAGGGUUCAGGAAUUAUCACUAAGGUAUUUUUAUCAAUAUCGAAGUGGGCCAUUUUUGUUCAUGAUCUACGAUCCUCUUGAAAUAUUUUCAAGUCCAUGGUUGACUUAGUAAAAUGCGUAAAAAAUAUCACGUCCAUCUUUUAAUGCAAAGAAUAAUAUUUAUAACAGAUUCCAGCUAUAGGAAAAAAUUCCAAGAAUGCAGUCAAUUAAAUCAUUUACAUUUUUUUAAGAAACCCACAGGGAUUAGUUUUUGAGUGCGAUUGUCUUUGGAUAUACCUUCAGCAGUGGAAUGUGGAAAAUUAGAUUUUGUGAAGGAUUAACCGACUAAAAUUGCGGUUGGGGGAUUUUCCUGUACCAAAUACCAAGUGUUUCUCCUCAAACUAGAGUGUAAUUUGUGUGGUGAAGUUGAACAAGGAGAUGAUUAUACUUCGAACAUGAAUUGCUAUUUUUGUAAAAGUGAUUAACAUAUGUAUACGAAUAGUUUCAUCUUCUUAUUCUAGAUAAAUACAAGCCACAGGCCCCACUAAAUGAAAUCACCAGAAAUGAAUGAUCAAAUGAAGAAAAUAUAAUGAAAAACAAAUUUGAUGAUCAUGCAAUGAUUAUUAACGAAAACAAAUGGUAAAGAAACUUCUGCAUGAGGUAUUGUGACUCCAUGAAUGGCGAACGAUUCGACUGGACGAAUGGAACCACGAGUCAAUGGAACUAAAUAAAAUGAUAGUAAAUCAGAGUGCAUAGAAGUCCAUUCGGUGCACAAAUAAAAACCCACGAUUUAUCGUAAUCGAAGAGCUAGUUAUAAUUAUUCACGUGUGAAUAUAUGGUGGGUUUUUAUGAAAAUAUGACUCACCGUCGUGCGACGUUUGGGCUGUUUGCGCUGUUUGGGUCUGCUUACUGUACACCACUGGCUCUUUUGGCGGAAUAUUUGUGUGGGCCACUGAGACGACUGUUAAUU
Diachasmimorpha longicaudata is the source of this 13281-nucleotide long non-coding RNA. RefSeq lists it as uncharacterized. The transcript has 4 exons. NCBI's taxonomy places the organism in Eukaryota, Metazoa, Arthropoda, Insecta, Hymenoptera, Braconidae. The record is from RefSeq and is a predicted model, not a curated record.